AUUCCGCGUGGCGUUUAUCCUCUGAACUCCCCCAGGGCAGGAAUGCAGCAAGGGUCAGGAGGCUCUGGCGGGUGCGCGGGG
This 81-nucleotide signal recognition particle RNA is filed under the name Corynebacterium phoceense. RNAcentral's name for it is "Bacterial small signal recognition particle RNA". It matches the Rfam family "Bacterial small signal recognition particle RNA", at positions 9 to 84 of the family's 97-position model. From Rfam's summary of the family: The signal recognition particle (SRP) is a universally conserved ribonucleoprotein involved in the co-translational targeting of proteins to membranes. Archaeal SRP consists of a 7S RNA and homologues of the eukaryotic SRP19 and SRP54 proteins. Lineage: Bacteria; Bacillati; Actinomycetota; Actinomycetes; Mycobacteriales; Corynebacteriaceae. The record is from RNAcentral.